RNAcentral lists this ribosomal RNA (301 nucleotides) under uncultured bacterium. Its description in RNAcentral is "partial 16S ribosomal RNA". It matches the Rfam family "Bacterial small subunit ribosomal RNA", at positions 509 to 807 of the family's 1533-position model. The record is from RNAcentral.
CAGUAGCCGCGGUAAUACGAAGGGGGCUAGCGUUGCUCGGAAUCACUGGGCGUAAAGGGUGCGUAGGCGGGUCUUUAAGUCAGGGGUGAAAUCCUGGAGCUCAACUCCAGAACUGCCUUUGAUACUGAAGAUCUUGAGUUCGGGAGAGGUGAGUGGAACUGCGAGUGUAGAGGUGAAAUUCGUAGAUAUUCGCAAGAACACCAGUGGCGAAGGCGGCUCACUGGCCCGAUACUGACGCUGAGGCACGAAAGCGUGGGGAGCAAACAGAAUUAGAUACCCCGGUAGUCCCUGUCUCUUAUAC